CCCUUAGAUGUUCUGGGCCGCACGCGUGCUACACUGAGUGGAUCAGCGGGUCAGGUUACGCGAGAGCGUUUCCUAAUCUUCAAAUCCGCUCGUGAUGGGGAUUGACGGUUGCAAUUUUCCGUCAUGAACGAGGAAUACCUUGUAAGCGCGGGUCAUCAUCCCGCGCUGAAUACGUCCCUGCCCUUUGUACACACCGCCCGUCGCUCCUACCGAUUGAGUGGUCCGGUGAGGCUUUGGGAUCUAAGCGAAAAGAGCGUUUCGCUCCUUUUGCUGGGAGAACUCAGUCGAACCUUAUCAUUUAGAGGAAGGAGAAGGCGGAACA
This 322-nucleotide ribosomal RNA is filed under the name uncultured eukaryote. RNAcentral describes it as "partial 18S ribosomal RNA". It matches the Rfam family "Eukaryotic small subunit ribosomal RNA", at positions 1470 to 1796 of the family's 1831-position model. The record is from RNAcentral.